CGUGUGAAUCCGCCGAGGAUUAGGAUAAAUAAUCCAAAUUUCCUACAAUUAGAAACUCUACUCCAUCUCCUUCUACCCCUUGCAAUUUGCAAACCCUAACCCCAAAAUCAAUUUGUCCCUAUAGUUGUUGGCGAAUACCCAAUUCCGAUUUUUGUUCAAUCUCCGAUACCCACUUGUAAUCUUGACUAAAGAUUCAAUCUUUGGGGAUCAAUUUUUUCUCUGAGAAAAGAAGACGAAUAAAGGAAUUAGGGUUUAGGAGUUAGAGGAGGAGGAAGAUGGUGAUCACGAUUGAAGAUUUGAGGAAAAAUGAGACCUGGCUUUGUGGGUCUUUCUUGAAAAUGGUUGAUGAUGUGAAAGCCAUGGCCACCGAUCCAUCUGAGCAACAAGUGCUUCUGACCCAGAUGGUUUUGAAGGAGUUGAUGAUGAAUAGGAACAAACCAGAAGCAGCAUUCUCACUUGGUUUUCCCAAAAAGAAGAGAUCUGAAUCUAGAGGGAUGGUUUUGAAGGAGUUGAUGAUGAAUAGGAACAAACCAGAAGCAGCAUUCUCACUUGGUUUUCCCAAAAAGAAGAGAUCUGGAUCUAGGGGGAUGCAAAAGCAGAAUCAGAAUCAGAAGCAGAGGAUCAUCAUCAAAUUCAAACGCUGCGUCUCUGCCACUACAGAAACAGGAUUUGAAAUUGAAAUUGAAAUUGAAGAGCAAGAAGAGGUGCUACUCUGAAAUCGAACAAGCAGGCGAUGAAGGUUUCGAAGACAUAAACUCGAAGAGGCUGAGAAAGGGAAAGAAUGAUAAAAGGGUGUUACCAAGUGCGCAAUUGAUGACUGAGUAUUUUCCAAAGGAAGAGUUGCAGGAUCGUAUUCGUGGAUCACAUCACCCGAAGCCAAGUGCAAGAGCAAUAGCAAUAGCAGGGAAGAGGAAUGAGAUCAAGAUCAGUAUGACCAGCUUUGCUUUGUCCUUGUUAAUCUGCUUUCUGUGAGUGUUCUUUGAGUUUUUGAUUUACACUUGAAUCAACUUGUGUAGUCUUUGAUCAAUAUAUAUGUACAUAGUUAUCAAGUCUUAAAAUUUCUUGUUCAUUAACUCUCUACCCUACUCCAUUUUCUCAGUCUUGCAGUUUAUGUUCAACAGUAAUUCAAUGAACGACUUUCAUUUUUCCGGUAUGGUUUUUGUAAUUUUAAUACUUUCUCUAUUUCCCCAAAGCUCAGAUAUCGCAUAUCUUCAUUCUCUUUCUCUCAGAUCAUUCAGUAUGCUCUUUGAGUUUGGGGGAUGCAUCCAAUUUCUUCUUAUGUUUACCUGGUAUGUUAGCUUACAUGUGCUCUUUUAGUUUUAGACUGGGCUUAUUAAUGCUUUUAAUCAUUUAUCUUUGUUCAUUCUCUUCUUAAUGGUGACAACUCAUAUAUAAGAAUUAGCUUAUGAGUAAAGACGCUUCUGAUUUUUACCCAACUGGCAUGGUGGUCUGCUUGUGUACUAUAGGUUGAAUUACUUGCACUAGGCUAUGUUUAGGAUGAAGGAUGUCUAGUUUCAACAUUUUUGUUUCUUUUGUCCGGAGGACUGAAGGAAUGUUGGUUUAAUUCACCGCUGCAAUUUGAGAUAUGGCUCAUUAAUUUUGGUGCUGAUUAAUGGAAUGUGCUUUAGUUUGAGCUGCAUCUGUCCUUGGUCCCUUUGGCAGGAGAGCAAAAGAUCUACCAUAUGGCAGGAGAGCAAAAGGCCUAUAUAUAUACACUUGGAUGAUCGAUCUGUUUGAAAAAGUGAAACUAUCCUUUUUGUAACUUUCAACUCGAGUAAUAUCUGAAUAAAGUACUUGUACUUCUCCAACAGUCCAUCUUCUUGAGUUUUUUUUAUUGCAUAUCUUGUUUUAUCCCGGCCAUAUAUAAAUGAGUAAACUU
This is an RNA transcript of Rosa chinensis, 1879 nucleotides long. RefSeq lists it as uncharacterized. The record is from RefSeq and is a predicted model, not a curated record. The transcript has 3 exons. Lineage: Eukaryota; Viridiplantae; Streptophyta; Magnoliopsida; Rosales; Rosaceae.